CGAACGCUGGCGGCGUGGAUAAGACAUGCAAGUCGGACGCUUGAUUUUGUAGCAAUAUGAGGAUACGGGAGUGGCGAAAGGGUGCGUAACACGUGGGUAAUUGCCUGAGAGUUCAGGAUAAUUCGCUGAAAGGCGGAGUAAUACUGGAUGUGGAUAUUGGUUGGGAACAGCUGAUAUCUAAAGCCGGGGACCGCAAGGGCCUGGUGCUCUUAGGUAAGCCCGCGACCUAUCAGCUAGUUGGUGAGGUAAGAGCCCACCAAGGCGGAGACGGGUAGCUGGUCUGAGAGGACGACCAGCCACACUGGAACUGAGACACGGUCCAGACACCUACGGGUGGCAGCAGUCGAGAAUUUUUCUCAAUGGGGGAAACCCUGAAGGAGCGACGCCGCGUGGGGGAUGAAGGGCUUUCCGGCUCGUAAACCCCUGUCAUUUGUGAGCAAGUGUUAUUGUUUAAGAGAUGAUGACAUUGAUAGUAGCAAAAGAGGAAGGGACGGCUAACUCUGUGCCAGCCGCCGC
This 516-nucleotide ribosomal RNA is filed under the name uncultured bacterium. RNAcentral describes it as "bacterial SSU rRNA". It matches the Rfam family "Bacterial small subunit ribosomal RNA", at positions 30 to 518 of the family's 1533-position model. The record is from RNAcentral.